AGUGAACGCUGGCGGUAGGCCUAACACAUGCAAGUCGAACGGCAGCACAGUAAGAGCUUGCUCUUACGGGUGGCGAGUGGCGGACGGGUGAGGAAUACAUCGGAAUCUACUUUUUCGUGGGGGAUAACGUAGGGAAACUUACGCUAAUACCGCAUACGACCUACGGGUGAAAGCAGGGGAUCUUCGGACCUUGCGCGAUUGAAUGAGCCGAUGUCGGAUUAGCUAGUUGGCGGGGUAAAGGCCCACCAAGGCGACGAUCCGUAGCUGGUCUGAGAGGAUGCUCCGCCAAACGGGAAUUGGAACCCGGCCCAGACCCCUACGGGAGGCAGCGGGGGGGAAUUUUGGAAAAGGGGGGCAACCCUGACCCAGCCAUCCCGGGGGGGUGAAGAAGGCCUUCGGGUUGAAAAGCCUUUUUGUUGGGAAAAAAAAGCAGCAGUUUAAUCCCCCGCUGUUCUGACGGAACCAAAAAAAUAAGCACCGCCUAACUUCGU
RNAcentral lists this ribosomal RNA (491 nucleotides) under uncultured bacterium. Its description in RNAcentral is "partial 16S ribosomal RNA". It matches the Rfam family "Bacterial small subunit ribosomal RNA", at positions 29 to 506 of the family's 1533-position model. The record is from RNAcentral.